Molecule: transfer RNA, 23 nt
Filed under: Hippotragus leucophaeus (blue antelope)
Lineage: Eukaryota; Metazoa; Chordata; Mammalia; Artiodactyla; Bovidae
Description: partial tRNA-His
Source: RNAcentral
GUGAAUAUAGUUUAAAAAAAACA